RNAcentral lists this ribosomal RNA (253 nucleotides) under uncultured bacterium. RNAcentral's name for it is "partial 16S ribosomal RNA". It matches the Rfam family "Bacterial small subunit ribosomal RNA", at positions 524 to 776 of the family's 1533-position model. The record is from RNAcentral.
UACGGAGGGAGCUAGCGUUGUUCGGAAUUACUGGGCGUAAAGCGCACGUAGGCGGCUUUGUAAGUUAGGGGUGAAAGCCCGGAGCUCAACUCCGGAAUUGCCUUUAAGACUGCAUCGCUUGAAUCCGGGAGAGGUGAGUGGAAUUCCGAGUGUAGAGGUGAAAUUCGUAGAUAUUCGGAAGAACACCAGUGGCGAAGGCGGCUCACUGGACCGGUAUUGACGCUGAGGUGCGAAAGCGUGGGGAGCAAACGGG